Lycium barbarum (goji berry) is the source of this 108-nucleotide small nuclear RNA. The record is from RefSeq and is a predicted model, not a curated record. Lineage: Eukaryota; Viridiplantae; Streptophyta; Magnoliopsida; Solanales; Solanaceae.
GUCGUGACAAGUCGAGGACAUUCGAUAAAAUUGGAACGAUACAGAGAAGAUUAGCAUGGCCCCUGCGCAAGUAUGACGCACACAAAUCUGGCAAGAUCCCUAAGCAGU